Molecule: ribosomal RNA, 678 nt
Filed under: Triticum aestivum (bread wheat)
Lineage: Eukaryota; Viridiplantae; Streptophyta; Magnoliopsida; Poales; Poaceae
Description: partial small subunit ribosomal RNA
Source: RNAcentral
AUGUUGUGGGAUUGUUACUCCGACCAAGCUGUGUAUGACAAAGUCUUGACCCACAAUAUCGGCUCCAUCGCGGAUGUAACAUAUGCAGUGCUGAGCAACGCCGUGGAGACCUCCGUGCAGGUCCAGCUGAAGCUGAAUGGUGACAAAGCUGGUGCCACCGCCCGCGUGCACGGUGAAAUCACGGCGAAGUACCAGCACUACAACGACCACAGCAUAGUGCUCUUCAGCUGUACAAAAGAGAAGGAAAUGGAACUGGAGAUCUCCAUGUACGAUGGCAUCAUUAGUAUUCCAAUUCCACUUCAGCGGUCGGUCAUUGCGGUGCCUGUCAGCUCAUCGCUUCAGAUAAAGGUGAAGAUCCAUGUCACAUGUCUACCCAAGCAUGAGGGCGUCGUCUCCUUCGACGACGACCUCAUCUUCCCCCACACAGAUCAGCAAACGGGAAAACUUCUGGGGGGAGAUGUGGCGGUUCAUGUGACGAUCAGACCACCCACUUCGGCCGACACCUGCGCCUUCCCAAAACCAAGUAAUAGAGCACUGUCGCUUGCGCUGGCUACUACUCCAGUUCCAAGGAAGGAAACUACUGCAGGAAAGAGUUUGAUGCGUUGGGUUCUAAAAUUUAAGAGGUUGAUGCCCCCCGCUCUGAAAAGGUUUACUUUUGAAGCAAUUGGUUCCAAAUAG